Molecule: non-coding RNA, 958 nt
Organism: Triticum urartu
Lineage: Eukaryota; Viridiplantae; Streptophyta; Magnoliopsida; Poales; Poaceae
Source: RefSeq, a predicted model, not a curated record
UACUAGAAAGUGCGCGCGCACUAUCUGGCGUUCGCGAGCGGCCGCUCCUUGGCCACACGAUGUGGCCCGAACCACCGCGCGCAUCGGCCAGGUGCUACCUGGUCAGGCACUCUCACCCGCUCGCGUUUGUGUCUAUCCCCACGUGUCCAAGCCCUUCGCCCCAAUCCUCCUCGCAUGGCCGCCGCCGCCACACCUGAGGCCGGCCAUCUCCACCCUCUUGAUUCAGCCGCCUCUGCCACAACUCGCGUCGGCCGCCGCCGACCCACCUCCCGAGCGUUCCAUCCUAGAGGUGCAGUGAUUUUACUUUUCUCCUUUCGCCGGAGUUUGGAGAAGAAGGUGCUGACUGCUGUAAUUAAUUGGACGGGAGGUUAAAUCGGCCGGCAUCGCAGUCGGCUGUCACCGCGCACCUUUGUUCAGCACGGCGACGACGGCGAGCACUGUAUGGUAGCGGUGCCCACCAGCUCGUCUCGCUGCAGGCAGACUCUCUUUGUGGUGCUCGCCGGUGGCGCUUGCUGGCGCAGCGGCCUUCUAGUCAAGGUGCAUGGAAGAUUUUGUGAGAUGUGGAUGAAUCUGUGGGUCGGAGUUGGAGUCAAGGUGGAGCUUAUCAUGUGGAUUUCGUGGAGCCACUUGUUGUGAAGGCCGGAGCAGACAUGGAGAUCUAUGACAGUGUGAAAGAAGAAACCAAGAUCGUCUCUUGUUUGCGUCUGCAAGCAGCAAGCAGCAAGCCUACUUCCAGUGUCCUACCAGCUGCAUCAGGUCAAAGUUUGUUCGCCAUCCAAGCUCAUUUGGCUACAAGAGGAUGCUGCCAUUUCUCAUGGAGAACGGUGGCCAAGUUCAGAAAUUGUCUAAAUUGCCAUCAGAUGAGAUUCAGUCUGCCAUUGUGGAAGUUCAUUUGGAUGACAGUGCAGCUAAAGUGCACAAAUCCACAUCAGAAGAAGAGUUAGCUUCGGUUGGAGAA